UAGGGAAUCUUCGGCAAUGGGGCGAACCCUGACCGAGCAACGCCGCGUGAGUGAAGAAGGUUUUCGGAUCGUAAAGCUCUGUUGUAAGAGAAGAACGUGUGUGAGAGUGGAAAGUUCACACAGUGACGGUAACUUACCAGAAAGGGACGGCUAACUACGUGCCAC
This 165-nucleotide ribosomal RNA is filed under the name uncultured bacterium. Its description in RNAcentral is "partial 16S rRNA". It matches the Rfam family "Bacterial small subunit ribosomal RNA", at positions 355 to 511 of the family's 1533-position model. The record is from RNAcentral.